UACGGGGGGGGCAAGCGUUGUUCGGAAUUACUGGGCGUAAAGGGCUUGUAGGUGGCCAACUAAGUCAGACGUGAAAUCCCUCGGCUUAACCGGGGAACUGCGUCUGAUACUGGAUGGCUGGAGUGUGGGAGAGGGAUGCAGAAUUCCAGGUGUAGCGGUGAAAUGCGUAGAUAUCUGGAGGAAUACCGGUGGCGAAGGCGGCAUCCUGGACCGGCAUUGACGCUGAGUGAGCGAAAGCUAGGGGAGCAAACGGG
RNAcentral lists this ribosomal RNA (254 nucleotides) under uncultured bacterium. RNAcentral's name for it is "partial 16S ribosomal RNA". It matches the Rfam family "Bacterial small subunit ribosomal RNA", at positions 524 to 776 of the family's 1533-position model. The record is from RNAcentral.